This 1378-nucleotide ribosomal RNA is filed under the name metagenome. RNAcentral's name for it is "bacterial SSU rRNA". It matches the Rfam family "Bacterial small subunit ribosomal RNA". The record is from RNAcentral.
AGAGUUUGAUCCUGGCUCAGGAUGAACGCUAGCGGCAGGCCUAACACAUGCAAGUCGAGGGGUAAUUCCGCUUUCGGGCGGGAACGACCGGCGCACGGGUGAGUAACGCGUAUGCAACCUACCUUUAACAGGGGCAUAGCCCGAAGAAAUUCGGAUUAAUACCCCAUAUUAUUAUAGAUAAGCAUUUAUUUAUAAUAAAAACUCCGGUGGUUAAAGAUGGGCAUGCGUAACAUUAGUUAGUUGGUGAGGUAACGGCUCACCAAGGCAACGAUGUUUAGGGGGCCUGAGAGGGUGGUCCCCCACACUGGUACUGAGACACGGACCAGACUCCUACGGGAGGCAGCAGUGAGGAAUAUUGCGCAAUGGAGGCAACUCUGACGCAGCCAUGCCGCGUGCAGGAUGACGGCCCUACGGGUUGUAAACUGCUUUUAUACAGGAAGAACUUUCCGCACGAGUGCGGGAUUGACGGUACUGUACGAAUAAGCAUCGGCUAACUCCGUGCCAGCAGCCACGGUAAUACGGAGGAUGCAAGCGUUAUCCGGAUUUAUUGGGUUUAAAGGGUGCGUAGGCGGGAUAAUAAGUCAGUGGUGAAAUACUGCAGCUCAACUGUAGAACUGCCAUUGAUACUGUUUUUCUUGAGUUCGAUUGAGGUAGGCGGAAUGUGUAAUGUAGCGGUGAAAUGCUUAGAUAUUACACAGAACACCGAUUCGUAGGCAGCUUACUAAGUCGACACUGACGCUGAGGCACGAAAGCGUGGGGAGCGAACAGGAUUAGAUACCCUGGUAGUCCACGCUGUAAACUAUGAUCACUAGCUGUUGGCGAUACAUUGUUCAGCGGCAAAGCGAAAGCAUUAAGUGAUCCACCUGGGGAGUACGGUCGCAAGAUUGAAACUCAAAGGAAUUGACGGGGGCCCGCACAAGCGGUGGAACAUGUGGUUUAAUUCGAUGAUACGCGAGGAACCUUACCUGGGCUUAAAUGCAGAUUGACGUUUCGGGAAACCGGAAUUCCCUUCGGGGCGAUUUGCAAGGUGCUGCAUGGUUGUCGUCAGCUCGUGCCGUGAGGUGUCGGGUUAAGUCCCAUAACGAGCGCAACCCCUAUCGUUAGUUGCCAGCGGGUAAUGUCGGGGACUCUAGCGAAACUGCCGGUGUAAACCGAGAGGAAGGUGGGGAUGACGUCAAAUAAGCACGGCCCUUAUGUCCAGGGCUACACACGUGUUACAAUGGUCGGUACAGAGGGCAGCUACCUGGUGACAGGAUGCUAAUCUCGAAAGCCGGUCUUAGUUCGGAUCGAAGUCUGCAACUCGACUUCGUGAAGCUGGAAUCGCUAGUAAUCGCGCAUCAGCAACGGCGCGGUGAAUACGUUCCCGGGCCUUGUACAC